This 457-nucleotide ribosomal RNA is filed under the name Ptychadena mascareniensis (Masarene ridged frog). RNAcentral describes it as "partial 16S ribosomal RNA". It matches the Rfam family "Bacterial large subunit ribosomal RNA", at positions 1969 to 2594 of the family's 2925-position model. The record is from RNAcentral. Lineage: Eukaryota; Metazoa; Chordata; Amphibia; Anura; Ptychadenidae.
UUGUUCUUUAAAUGGGGACUAGAAUCAACGGCAUCACGAGGGUCUUACUGUCUCCUUUCUCUAAUCAGUGAAACUGAUCUCUCCGUGAAGAAGCGGGGAUAAAGAUAUAAGACGAGAAGACCCCAUGGAGCUUCAAGCUCAACAAGUACUCUUUUCCACUAACCUUACAGACUCUAGAAUCUACUUGUUAGCUUUAGGUUGGGGUGACCGCGGAGAAAAACUUAACCUCCAUAAUGAAAAGAAUAAAAUCCUAAUCUAUGAGCCACACCUCUAAGAAUCAACAAAUUGACAUAAAAUGACCCGAUAAUUCGAUCAAUGAACCAAGUUACCCUGGGGAUAACAGCGCCAUCCACUUCAAGAGCCCAUAUCGACGAGUGGGUUUACGACCUCGAUGUUGGAUCAGGGUGUCCCAGUGGUGCAGCCGCUACUAAAGGUUCGUUUGUUCAACGAUUAAAAC